GGUAAAAAAUGUUAUGUCGGGGAGACUGGAGAUAUAUAUAGGAAGCCAGAAACUAAGGGCGAGUAAGCGAUAAUUUAGCAUCACUUUCUGCACCAACGCGAGUUGCUUCGCUUUCAAGAAGAUCACUUCUAUCAGAAUGAAGGCAGUGCUGGUUCUGUUUUCUGUCAUGGCUACGACCUUUGCCUCUGACCUCUCACUUCCUGUGGCUAAGAACAACGUAGCUGACGACUACGGAAAGUUUGGCCUUUGGUAAAUGGAGAUAACUUGUUUGGAAACAAGGCCAACUACGCCCCUGGCUUCGGCAAUUACUUCCCUGGUUACGGUUCCAAAAGGGAGACUACUAUCCAGGCGGAUAUGAUGGUUUCGGAUACAACAACGGUUACGGAAAAGGCUACAACGGCUAUUAUCCUGGUCUUGCUACCCUGGCUACGGUCAGAAAGAUGGCACUUACAUCUAAAAAUGCGCAGAAACGAACAAUACAGGCCAUAAUAUCAUGAGAGCUAGAAGAGAACGUCGCUUUUUUCCAAAUAAACAACUUUUUUUAUUUAA
Long non-coding RNA from Pomacea canaliculata, 549 nucleotides. RefSeq lists it as uncharacterized. The record is from RefSeq and is a predicted model, not a curated record. NCBI's taxonomy places the organism in Eukaryota, Metazoa, Mollusca, Gastropoda, Architaenioglossa, Ampullariidae. The transcript has 2 exons.